AGAAGUAUGACACUCACAGUGAAAGCACAAAACAUCAAGCCAACAGUUCAGGACUAGUCAUUCAAAUGGACUAAAGGUGGGGGAGAAAAAAUAAGAGUGGAUAAAAGAAAGAAAGAAAACAGAGAAAGGUGGGAAAAAAAAAACAAAGGAAGGAAGAGAGAAAAGAGAAUGAGAGGAAGAGAAGGAAGGGGAAAAACAAGAUUGACUUUACAGUAUGAGAUAUACUAUUAUAUAUUGGACCCUUGGUGGGCAGUGCCUAAACAGAGACAACUACAGGUUUCUGGCUGUGGCCACUCUCUGGUGAAACUAAGGGGUUUCUGUGUGGAGGUGCCUAACAGCCACCGUCCAGUUUGGGUAAAGAAAGCUUUUUAUGGUUCACUAAGGACAAUCAACCCCUUCGCAAUCUAGAACCAAAAGACUGGAUCUUCUGAGAACAUCUACUGUAAGAACUAUAGUUACACAACAGACUUUGAAUUCUCUUGUGAAAGUUAAGGUAGAAUUGGCUGAACAGAGGAGUAUCUGUGCGGCUGCUGGCAUUUGUGGCUUAUGGAGAAACACAUUAAAUGAAGAUUACAGAGAUUCAUUGGCAGGGGAUUAACAGAGAUUGCUUAAUUAAUAGUAUGAUGCCUCUGGCUUCCCUCUAUCACACGUCUUCUUUUCGAGUAAAGGUUUUUCAUAAAUGUGAGCGUGGAAGAAGAAACCAGUUAAAUAUGGAACUUCACACCAGGACACAAAAGAUGGUGUCAGAAGCGGAUCCGAAGUGGAACUUUUAGUGACCCUCAGGAGCACUGAAUGAACAUGCAAGGAACCUGCAGGACCCACUUGUGUCCAUUGAUCUCUGGGAGCAGCUGGGAUAAGCUCCUUUUCGGAUUUCAGAGCUCCAUGGACUUGUGUCUUGAGAUCCCUGAGUUUCUUUGAGCAAAUUUCUGAUCCAAAAUGGGUUUGGCAUCAUGGCAGAAACAGGACUGGGUCCACGAAUGGAUUUGAUCCAGGAAUGAACUGGCUUGGAUCCAGUCAGAGGUCUCUUACAUCUGACUGGGUCAGAAAGGAACUGGUAGUAAGCAGUAAUAUUGCAGAGGAUGGUGUGGCAAGCUGAGUCACUAAGGCUGCUCAGGGAAAGGGAACCCAGAAUCUUGGCAUGCCGGCAAAAGGCCCAUGGUUCACUGAGGACAACUCCUUUGCAAUCUAGAACCCAAAGAUUGGAUCUUCUGAGAACAUCAGAGAAAGACUGUCCUUGCCAUCCACACUACAGCAAAGCUUUGGAGCCUUGAACCUUGGGUUCAUGAUCUUACAACUGAGAAGGGCCCCUCCACACUCCUGAACUGUACAACCAUUGAAACUCUUAAGGUAAAAUUAACUAGGAAAGUUUAUCUCCUUAAGAAGAUGGCAUCCUUGAUGUGAACAGCUUUUCCCAAGAUCCUGGAUCAAAACGUCUACUAUCACGAGACUCUUAUAUUUGAAUAUAUUUUCCGGUUUAUGCCUUUAGGAACAAUUGAAAUGAAAGGGGGAUCUAUUAUGUGCACUUAUAGGGUAUACUUUUAUUUGUGAAGGAUUUUGCAUCCAGCCUUAUAUGAAUAACCUUGUACUUUAAUAGAUAAAAGAUGAAGGCUCAAUGUAGGUGAGAAAAUGUAGUGGUACAUAUGUUGCCUCAUAAUCAGUCAAAACUCUUCUUAACCCACAUAAUGGAUUAAAGAGAAUAUUGCCAGGAGGCCUUCGCUUUUCUAAAAUGACAUCAUUUGUUAGGUCCUUUUUCCAUAGUUUAGUAUAAAAGAGGCAAUAAUUAGAAAUGUCACCCUCAUAAUAGGCUCUACAGCAAAUUCUACUUUAAAGGCUAUUGUUACACAACAGACUUUAAAUUAUCUUGUAAAAGUUAUGCUAAAUAAUAGAAUUGGCCAAACAGAAAAGUACCUGUGCAGUUGCUGACACCUGUGGCCUAUGGAGAAAUACAUCAAAUGUAGAUUAUACAAUUUCAGUUGUAGGGGAUUAAUGAAAAGACCACCUAGUCAAGCAAGUAGGCUCUUCAUAUAGCUCAUUCUUUAAUCUAUUUAAUUUUACAUGGUUUGGUUUAUGGGGACCCUGGGUAAGGAGCACACUCCAAAUUUGUUAUUAUUCUCCCAGUACUCAUAAUGAUAGUCUCCCUGAUGUGCUAUAUUCUCUUAAAGGUUUUAAAUGUUUGCAUGCAGCCAUCUCUAGAACAUCAAAUGGUCUCUAUUCAACCAGAAUGACAAAAGCUGAAAGAAAUGUGUGACCCUGAGGAUAUCGUAACCUACGAAUGAUGUGCUGAGACUGGAAACCCUAAAUGAUGUUACUGAGAAUGGCACUAAGGCCUUAAGUUUUGGUCACACUGUCACCUAAGUGAGAACCUGGCUGAAAAGGGAGAAUUUUUAAACAACAAAAUUAGAGGAAGCCACUAUUUUGGACUGAGCUCAUGCACUAGGCCCCAACAAACGAAACCAAGCUAAAAUGGAGUCACUCAUCCUAAAUGUGACAUAAUCAAACCAAGGCUUUAAGAACACAGAUAGAUGCUAGAACAGACUACAUUUUGUUUUUCUCCUGUAAACAGGAUGUCUAUCAUAAGGAGGUACCGUCUACUCAGUCCUUAUUCUCUCCUUGCAAAACCCACUUUUCUACUGUUUCCCAGUGGGUUUCAAACCAUAUAAUACAUUUAUGAUAGUGAUAUUAACAUCAAUGACUAAGGUUUUGGUCAAUCUCUCAAAAUUGAGAAAAUGACCAAAAGAGGGAAAUGAUUGCUAAAGCAAACUAAAUAUGGCCUGGGAAGAACUCCAUAGUCUUAUAUUUGAGUUCUUGCAGAUGAACUGUAACUUAGCUUAAUAGUCAGACAAAACUGAAAACCUAACUUAAUAGUAUGCGUCUGUAACAAUGGCUGAGUGUUCGCUAAUCCCAGCGGCCAUACUUCAACCACUCAUAGACUGCUGAAAGUUCAAAGUGCAUUCAAAUAAGGCAAAAACGGAGCUUAACCAGCCUCACUGUUUCUGUAUCUCACUUCCGAUUCCUGUAUGUCACUUUACCUUUUUUGUCUAUAAAUGUGUUCUGACCACGAGGCACCCCAGGUCUCUGUGAAUCUGUUGUAAUUCUGGAGGUGCCUGAUUCGCCAAUCAUUCAUUGCUCAAUUAAACUCCUUUAAAUUUAACUCAGCUGGACUUUUCCUUUUAUCAGGUUGAAUUUUACAUAUCUACUUUAGAUUUUAAUUUCUUCUAUAAAUUAAAAUCUAAUCUUCCAUAAUUUCUGAUAAAAUGUUUGUUAAAUGAACUCAAUGCAUUGGACAAAAAUUUCCUGUUGCUUUUCUUUCAAAGUACAUAAAUUGAUGCUACUUUUUCCACCUUUCUCACAUUUUCUCUGUCCCAAUCUUACACUGGAGGUUCAAUAGUCUUCUUCAUGCCUCAAGUUCUUUCUCUUGUAAUAUGAAAGGCAUGUGGCCACUUUCCUUUUCUAAUUCUUUCAUAAAUCUAAACAUUUUCACUACCUAUUGGUUACUAUGCUCACCAUCUGGGUGAAGGCAUCAUUUGUACACAAAAUCUAUAAAAUAUACUAUUUACUUAUGUAAAAAACCUAAACAUGUACCUGCUGAACCUAAAAUAAAAGUUGAAAAAGAAAAAUAAAUAAAUAAUACCUUCCCAGAAUAUUGCCUAUAGGAACAAGUCUAAAUUCCUUAAUACAGAGUAAAAUGGUAAUAAAAUUCUUGCCCUGAUUUUCUUUCUUAGGCCUAUGUCAUUUCAACACUCCCCAUCACCAUUCUUCCCCAAUCUCUUCCAUUUUUUGAGUCUAAAAUCCUUAAUACAUUGAAUUUUUGUUCAAUAUUUGUUAUAUGCCCAAAACUAUGCUAAGCUGCUGGACUCGUGCUCUUUCACAAUUCCUUUUCUGUUCCUUUCAGACUAGUGAAAUGAUACUGAUUUUUAAUGAUCUGUCUUUUCUUGGAAAUUUCCUAUUUCCAAAUGUCAAAAAAAGAACUUAUAAUUUUUGUCUCUCCAUUUCCAUAACACUUAUCAAUGUCACUGACAUAGCCCUAAUAAUUAUGAGAUGUACAUUGUUAGUUACACACAUUUCUUGUUUUCCUACUUUUGAUGUCUUUAAGGUCAGAGAUUGUAUUUUACUCGUUUGUAUUCCUAUCAGAAAAAAAACUGUGGCUUACAUGUAAUAUACAUUCAGUAAUUGUUUGAAUGAAAAAUGUAUUAAAAUAGUAUGAGUAUCCAAGUUGGUGAUUCAAUUUAGUUAAUCUCUUCUGAUACCCCUACCCCAAAAAGGCAUAUGUAAAAGUGCAUAAAAUUGUGUGUAUGAAUAUGUAGAUCAAUAGAUAGAAGCAUCUGUGAACACAAAUAAGAAAUUUAGGAAAUGAUUAUCUUAGAAACUCUUUAGCAUCAAAUCUUAUUUAUUUAUUUAUUUAUUUGCUAUAGCUUUUGGGGAAAAGUUGGAUUUUUGUUACAUGGAUAAGUUCUCUUGUAGUAAUUCCUGAGAUUUUGGUGCACACUGUACCCAAUCUGUAUUCUUUAUUCCUCACCCCUCUCCCCGCAUUCCCCUUGAGUCUCUGAAGUCCCUUAUAUCAUUCUUACGCCUUUGCAGCCUCAUAACUUAGCUCCCACUUAUAAGUGAGAUCAUACAAAAUUUGGUUUUCCAUUCCUGAGUUACUUCACUUAGAAUAACUGUUUCCAGCUCCAUCCAGGUUGCUGAAAAUGCCAUUAUUUCAUUCAUUUUUAUGGCUGAGUAGUAUUCCAUGGUGUAUAUAUGCCACCUUUUCUUUAUUUACUCUUUGGCCAGUGGACAUUUAGGCUGAUUUCAUAUUUUUGCAAUUGUGAAUUUUGCUACUAUACACAUGUAUGUGCAAGUGUAUUUUUCAUACAAUGACUUCUUUUCCUCUGGGUAGAGACCCAGUAGUGCGAUUGCUGGAUGAAAUGCUAGUUCUACUUCUAGUUAUUUAAGGAAUCUCCAUACUGUUUUCCAUAUGGGUGGUACUAGUUUACAUUCCCAACAGCAGUAUAAAAGUGUUCCCUUUUCACCAUAUUCACGCUAAUAUUUAUUAUUUUUUAUUUUUAAUUAUGGUCAUUCUUGGAUCUCAUUGUAUUUUCAAUUUGCAUUUCCCUGGUAAUUAGAGAUGUUGAGCAUAUUUUCAUGUUUGUUGGCCAUUUGGAUAACUUUUUCUGAGAAUUGUCUGUUCAUGUCCUUUGCCCACUUUUUAAGUUUAAUUUAAUACUAAUCCUACUAUUAUAUAUAUAUAUAUAAG
This 5236-nucleotide long non-coding RNA is filed under the name Homo sapiens (human). RNAcentral describes it as "non-protein coding lnc-CADM2-3:12". The record is from RNAcentral. Lineage: Eukaryota; Metazoa; Chordata; Mammalia; Primates; Hominidae.